RNAcentral lists this ribosomal RNA (484 nucleotides) under uncultured bacterium. RNAcentral's name for it is "partial 16S ribosomal RNA". It matches the Rfam family "Bacterial small subunit ribosomal RNA", at positions 30 to 507 of the family's 1533-position model. The record is from RNAcentral.
AUUGAACGCUGGCGGCAUGCUUUACACAUGCAAGUCGAACGGCAGCGCGGGCUUCGGCCUGGCGGCGAGUGGCGAACGGGUGAGUAAUACAUCGGAACGUGCCCAGUAGUGGGGGAUAGCUCGGCGAAAGCCGGAUUAAUAUCGCAUACGACCUGAGGGUGAAAGCGGGGGAUCUUCGGACCUCGCGCUAUUUGAGCGGCCGAUGGCAGAUUAGCUAGUUGGUGGGGUAAAGGCCUACCAAGGCGACGAUCUGUAGCUGGUCUGAGAGGACGACCAGCCACACUGGGACUGAGACACGGCCCAGACUCCUACGGGAGGCAGCAGUGGGGAAUUUUGGACAAUGGGCGAAAGCCUGAUCCAGCAAUGCCGCGUGUGUGAUGAAGGCCUUCGGGUUGUAAAGCACUUUUGGCGGGAACGAAAAGGACUGUGCCAAUACCACGGUUCGAUGACGGUACCCGCAGAAUAAGCACCGGCUAACUACGUG